RNAcentral lists this ribosomal RNA (266 nucleotides) under uncultured bacterium. Its description in RNAcentral is "partial 16S ribosomal RNA". It matches the Rfam family "Bacterial small subunit ribosomal RNA", at positions 333 to 592 of the family's 1533-position model. The record is from RNAcentral.
UCAGCCUACGGGGCGCAGCAGUAGGGAAUCUUCCACAAUCGACGAAAGUCUGAUGGAGCAACGCCGCGUGAGUGAAGAAGGGUUUCGGCUCGUAAAGCUCUGGUGGUAGUGAAGAAAGAUAGAGGUAGUAACUGGCCUUUAUUUGACGGUAAUUACUUAGAAAGUCACGGCUAACUACGUGCCAGCAGCCGCGGUAAUACGUAGGUGGCAAGCGUUGUCCGGGUUUAUUGGGCGUAAAGCGAGUGCAGGCGGUUCAAUAAGUAUGA